GUAGUCCACGCCCUAAACGAUGCUGACUAGUUGUUCGGGAUUUACAUCCUGAGUAACAUAGCUAACGCGUGAAGUCAGCCGCCUGGGGAGCACGGUCGCAAGAUUAAAACUCAAAGGAAUUGACGGGGACCCGCACAAGCGGUGGAUGAUGUGGAUUAAUUCGAUGCAACGCGAAAAACCUUACCUACCCUUGACAUGUCACUAACGAAGUAGAGAUACAUUAGGUGCCCGUAAGGGAAAGUGAACACAGGUGCUGCAUGGCUGUCGUCAGCUCGUGUCGUGAGAUGUUGGGUUAAGUCCCGCAACGAGCGCAACCCUUGUCUUUAGUUGCUACGCAAGGGCACUCUAAAGAGACUGCCGGUGACAAACCGGAGGAAGGUGGGGAUGACGUCAAGUCCUCAUGGCCCUUAUGGGUAGGGCUUCACACGUCAUACAAUGGUGCAUACAGAGGGUUGCCAACCCGCGAGGGGGAGCUAAUCUCAGAAAAUGCAUCGUAGUCCGGAUCGUAGUCUGCAACUCGACUACGUGAAGCUGGAAUCGCUAGUAAUCGCGGAUCAGAAUGUCGCGGUGAAUACGUUCCCGGGUCUUGUACACACCGCCCGUCAUACCAUGGGAGUGGGUU
RNAcentral lists this ribosomal RNA (622 nucleotides) under uncultured beta proteobacterium. RNAcentral describes it as "bacterial SSU rRNA". It matches the Rfam family "Bacterial small subunit ribosomal RNA", at positions 790 to 1416 of the family's 1533-position model. Lineage: Bacteria; Pseudomonadati; Pseudomonadota; Betaproteobacteria. The record is from RNAcentral.